GGCUGGUCUGAAGGUAGUGAGUCAUCUCACUUGACUGUUCACAGUCAGUCACAGACUGAACUCCUCAUGCUACUACUUACCCCCUCCUCACUACUGCCCCUGACUAGUCUAAA
Molecule: Y RNA, 113 nt
Filed under: Prolemur simus (greater bamboo lemur)
Lineage: Eukaryota; Metazoa; Chordata; Mammalia; Primates; Lemuridae
Description: Y RNA (ENSPSMG00000024438.1)
Rfam family: Y RNA
About the family: Y RNAs are components of the Ro ribonucleoprotein particle (Ro RNP), in association with Ro60 and La proteins. The Y RNAs and Ro60 and La proteins are well conserved, but the function of the Ro RNP is not known.
Source: Rfam by way of RNAcentral